This 253-nucleotide ribosomal RNA is filed under the name uncultured bacterium. Its description in RNAcentral is "partial 16S ribosomal RNA". It matches the Rfam family "Bacterial small subunit ribosomal RNA", at positions 524 to 776 of the family's 1533-position model. The record is from RNAcentral.
UACGUAGGGGGCAAGCGUUAUCCGGAUUUACUGGGUGUAAAGGGAGCGUAGACGGCUUUGCAAGCCAGAUGUGAAAGCCCGGGGCUCAACCCCGGGACUGCAUUUGGAACUGUGUGGCUAGAGUGUCGGAGAGGCAGGCGGAAUUCCUAGUGUAGCGGUGAAAUGCGUAGAUAUUAGGAGGAACACCAGUGGCGAAGGCGGCCUGCUGGACAUUAACUGACGCUGAGGCGCGAAAGCGUGGGGAGCAAACAGG